Molecule: ribosomal RNA, 1989 nt
Filed under: Triticum aestivum (bread wheat)
Lineage: Eukaryota; Viridiplantae; Streptophyta; Magnoliopsida; Poales; Poaceae
Description: partial small subunit ribosomal RNA
Source: RNAcentral
AUGGCGGCGCAGGUUCAGGCGUCGGCAGCGCCAGCGGCUGGCGCGACGGAGGGCGGCGCGUCUCCGGCGGCUGGGGCUGCGGCAGCAGCCGCACCAGCAACUGCUGCGGCUUUCCCGGCGACGUCCCUGUACGUGGGGGAUCUGGACGUGAGUGUGCAGGACGCGCAGCUCUUUGACGUCUUCAGCCAGGUCGGCUCGGUGGUGUCUGUGCGCGUGUGCCGGGACGUCAACACCAGGAUGUCCCUAGGCUACGCGUACGUCAACUUCAGCAGCCCUGCCGAUGCUGCAAGGGCAUUGGAAAUGCUGAACUUCACUCCUGUUAAUGGGAAGCCUAUAAGGAUAAUGUAUUCUAACCGUGACCCCAGCUCACGUAAAAGUGGUGCUGCAAAUAUAUUUAUCAAGAAUCUUGACAAGUCAAUAGAUAACAAAGCGCUCUAUGACACAUUUUCUGCCUUUGGAAACAUUCUUUCAUGCAAAGUUGCUACAGAAAUAUCUGGAGAAUCCAAGGGUUAUGGUUUUGUUCAGUAUGAGCAGGACGAAUCAGCACAGAAUGCCAUCAAUGAGCUCAAUGGGAUGCUUUUGAAUGACAAAAAGGUUUAUGUUGGGCCUUUUGUUCGUAAACAGGAAAGGGAAAAUGUUUUUGGCAGUCCCAAGUUCAAUAAUGUCUAUGUAAAGAAUCUAUCAGAAUCUACCACCGAAGAUAAUCUGAGAGAAUUGUUUGGUAAUUUUGGACCUAUAACUAGUGUUAUUGUAGUGCGAGCCGAUGAUGGUAAAUCCAGAUGCUUUGGAUUCGUGAACUUUGAAAAUCCGGAUGAUGCUGCACGUGCUGUUGAGGAUUUGAAUGGCAAGAAAUUUGAUGAUAAGGAAUUAUAUGUUGGUAGAGCUCAGAAGAAGUCUGAAAGGGAGAUGCAAUUGAAGGAAAAUUUUGAGAAAAGCAAUAAAGAGACAGCUGACAGGAACCAAGGCACUAACUUGUAUUUGAAAAACUUGGAUAGUAGUGUUGAUGACGAUGAGAAAUUAAAAGAACUUUUUGCCGAAUUUGGCACUAUAACUUCUUGCAAGGUUAUGCGGGAUUUGAAUGGGGUAAACAAAGGAUCUGGUUUUGUUGCAUUUAAAUCUUCCGAAGAUGCUUCACGAGCUCUUGUGGCAAUGAAUGGUAAAAUGGUUGGCGGUAAGCCUCUUUACGUAGCACUUGCGCAACGCAAGGAAGAAAGAAGAGCCAGGCUGCAGGUGCAGUUUUCACAAAUGCGUCCUGUGAUGCCACCGCCCGUUGCUCCGCGCAUGCCCAUGUACCCCCCUGGUGUUCCUGGAAUGGGCCAACAGCUAUUCUAUGGCCAACCACCUCCAGCUUUUGUUAACCCACAGCCUGGAUUUGGUUUCCAGCAACAUAUGAUUCCUGGAAUGAGACCUGGUGUUGCUCCAAUGCCAAAUUUCGUCAUGCCAAUGGUGCAGCAAGGUCAGCAACCACAACGCCCAUCUGGAAGGCGCGCAGGUGCUGGUGGAAUGCAACAGCCAAUGCCAAUGGGUCAUCAGCAGAUGGUUCCGAGGGGUGGCCGUGGUGGUUACCGUUAUGCGUCUGGCCGUGGCAUGCCUGAUGCUGCAUUCCGUGGUGUUGGAGCUAUGGGGCCAUCGCUGUAUGAGAUGGGAAGGAUGACUCCUGGUGACACUGGAGCACCGCAGCAAGUUUCUAGUGGAGCAUUAGCAUCUGCACUUGCUAACUCUCCGCCGGAGCAGCAACGAUUGAUGCUUGGUGAAAGCUUGUAUCCACUUGUUGAUCAGCUGGAGCAUGACCAGGCUGCCAAGGUUACCGGUAUGCUUCUGGAGAUGGACCAGACUGAGGUUCUUCAUCUAAUUGAGUCACCUGAUGCUCUGAAGUCUAAGGUCGCUGAAGCUAUGGAGGUUCUCCGCAGUGCUCAGCAGCAGCAGACCAAUGUUCCAGCUGAUCAGCUGGCUGCUCUUUCGCUGAGCGAUGGCUUUGUUGCUUCUUAG